RNAcentral lists this ribosomal RNA (486 nucleotides) under uncultured bacterium. RNAcentral describes it as "bacterial SSU rRNA". It matches the Rfam family "Bacterial small subunit ribosomal RNA", at positions 31 to 507 of the family's 1533-position model. The record is from RNAcentral.
GAACGCUAGCUACAGGCUUAACACAUGCAAGUCGAGGGGCAGCAUGAACUUAGCUUGCUAAGUUUGAUGGCGACCGGCGCACGGGUGAGUAACACGUAUCCAACCUGCCGUCUACUCUUGGACAGCCUUCUGAAAGGAAGAUUAAUACAAGAUGGCAUCAUGAGUCCGCAUGUUCACAUGAUUAAGGUAUUCCGGUAGACGAUGGGGAUGCGUUCCAUUAGAUAGUAGGCGGGGUAACGGCCCACCUAGUCUUCGAUGGAUAGGGGUUCUGAGAGGAAGGUCCCCCACAUUGGAACUGAGACACGGUCCAAACUCCUACGGGAGGCAGCAGUGAGGAAUAUUGGUCAAUGGGCGAGAGCCUGAACCAGCCAAGUAGCGUGAAGGAUGACUGCCCUAUGGGUUGUAAACUUCUUUUAUAAAGGAAUAAAGUCGGGUAUGUAUACCCGUUUGCAUGUACUUUAUGAAUAAGGAUCGGCUAACUCCGUG